GACGAACCGUGCGAACGUUAUUCGGAAUCACUGGGCUUAAAGCGCGUGUAGGCGGGCCGGCGCGUCCGUUCGCUGAAAGCCCCCGGCUCAACCGGGGAAGCGGCGGGGAUACGGCCGGCCUGGAGGGGGGUAGGGGGCGCCGGAACUCACGGUGGAGCGGUGAAAUGCGUUGAGAUCGUGAGGAACGCCCGCGGCGAAAGCGGGCGCCUGGACCCCGCCUGACGCUGAGACGCGAAAGCCAGGGGAGCGAACGGG
Molecule: ribosomal RNA, 255 nt
Filed under: uncultured Singulisphaera sp.
Lineage: Bacteria; Pseudomonadati; Planctomycetota; Planctomycetia; Isosphaerales; Isosphaeraceae
Description: partial 16S ribosomal RNA
Rfam family: Bacterial small subunit ribosomal RNA
Source: RNAcentral